This 261-nucleotide long non-coding RNA is filed under the name Helianthus annuus (common sunflower). It matches the Rfam family "Bacterial large subunit ribosomal RNA", at positions 1 to 302 of the family's 2925-position model. The record is from RNAcentral. Lineage: Eukaryota; Viridiplantae; Streptophyta; Magnoliopsida; Asterales; Asteraceae.
GGUUCAACGAGGAAAGGGCUUACGGGGAUACUAGGCACCAGAGACGAGGAAGGGGUAUAAGCGACGAAAUGCUUCGGGAGUGAAAAUAAGCAUAGAUCCGGAGAUUCCGAAUAGGUUAACCUUUCAAAUGCUGCUGAAUCCAUGGGCAGGCAAGAGACAACUGGCGAACUGAACUCUUAGUAGCAAGAGGAAAAGAAGCAAAAGCGUUCCCGUAGUAGCGGCGAGGAAAUGGGAGCAGCUAACCGUGAAAACGGGGUUGUG